GGACAAUCUGACCUGUAGAGGAGGAUAAUCCCGGGAAACUGGGUGUAAUACUCCAUAUUCCAGGGGUACUGGAAUGUCUUUUGGAUGAAAGAUUAAUCGCUACAGGAUGAGUCUGCGACCGAUUAGGUAGUUGUUGGGGUAACGGCCCAACAAGCCUGUAAUCGGUACGGGUUGUGGGAGCAAGAGCCCGGAGAUGGAUUCUGAGACACGAAUCCAGGCCCUACGGGGCGCAGCAGGCGCGAAAACUUUACCAUGCGGGCAACCGUGAUAAGGAAACCCCGAGUGCCAGCACAGGCUGGCUGUCCACCAGUGUAAACAGCUGGUGAAGAAAGGGCCGGGCAAGACCGGUGCCAGCCGCCGCGGUAAUACCGGCGGCUCGAGUGGUGGCCGCUAUUACUGGGCUUAAAGGGUCCGUAGCUUGAUUUACAAGUCCCUUGAGAAAUCCGCCGGCUUAACUGGCGGGCGUUCAGGGGAAACUGUAAUUCUAGGGACCGGGAGAGGUGAGAGGUACUGCCGGGGUAGGAGUGAAAUCCUGUAAUCCCGGUGGGACCACCAAUGGCGAAGGCAUCUCACCAGAACGGGUCCGACAGUGAGGGACGAAAGCUGGGGGAGCAAACCGGAUUAGAUACCCGGGUAGUCCCAGCUGUAAACGAUGUGCGUUAGGUGUGUCAGUGACCACGUGUCACUGAGGUGCCGAAGGGAAACCGUGAAACGCACCGCCUGGGGAGUACGGUCGCAAGGCUGAAACUUAA
RNAcentral lists this ribosomal RNA (752 nucleotides) under uncultured archaeon. RNAcentral's name for it is "bacterial SSU rRNA". It matches the Rfam family "Archaeal small subunit ribosomal RNA", at positions 102 to 859 of the family's 1478-position model. The record is from RNAcentral.